CUUCGGGGCAGGGUGAAAAUCCCUACCGGCGGUGAAAGUCCGCGAACGGUCGGUUCUAUGAGCCGUCCGCCGAUCCGGUGAAAUUCCGGGACCGACGGUGAGUGCGUUUCCUUUUAGGUGCGCGUAAGUCCGGAUGAAAGAAGGAG
This 146-nucleotide non-coding RNA is filed under the name bovine gut metagenome. RNAcentral describes it as "FMN riboswitch (RFN element)". It matches the Rfam family "FMN riboswitch aptamer (RFN element)". From Rfam's summary of the family: The RFN element is a highly conserved domain that is found frequently in the 5'-untranslated regions of prokaryotic mRNAs that encode for flavin mononucleotide (FMN) biosynthesis and transport proteins. This element is a metabolite-dependent riboswitch that directly binds FMN in the absence of proteins. The record is from RNAcentral.